GACGAACGCUGGCGGCGUGCUUAACACAUGCAAGUCGAACGGAAAGGCCCCUUUGGGGGUACUCGAGUGGCGAACGGGUGAGUAACACGUGAGUAACCUGCCCUUGACUUCGGGAUAACUUCAGGAAACUGGGGCUAAUACCGGAUAGGAAUCCUUGCUGCAUGGUGGGGGUUGGAAAGCUUCGGCGGUUUUGGAUGGACUCACGGCUUAUCAGCUUGUUGGUGGGGUAGUGGCUUACCAAGGCUUUGACGGGUAGCCGGCCUGAGAGGGCGACCGGCCACAUUGGGACUGAGAGACGGCCCAGACUCCUACGGGAGGCAGCAGUGGGGAAUAUUGCACAAUGGGCGGAAGCCUGAUGCAGCAACGCCGCGUGCGGGAUGACGGCCUUCGGGUUGUAAACCGCUUUCAGCAGGGGCGAAGCUUGUGGUGACGGUACCUGCAGAAGAAGCACCGGCUAACUACGUG
Molecule: ribosomal RNA, 465 nt
Filed under: uncultured bacterium
Lineage: Bacteria
Description: partial 16S ribosomal RNA
Rfam family: Bacterial small subunit ribosomal RNA
Source: RNAcentral